CUACGUGCCAGCAGCCGCGGUAAUACGUAGGUCCCGAGCGUUGUCCGGAUUUAUUGGGCGUAAAGCGAGCGCAGGCGGUUAGAUAAGUCUGAAGUUAAAGGCUGUGGCUUAACCAUAGUACGCUUUGGAAACUGUUUAACUUGAGUGCAAGAGGGGAGAGUGGAAUUCCAUGUGUAGCGGUGAAAUGCGUAGAUAUAUGGAGGAAUACCAGUGGCGAAGGCGACUUUCUGGACUGCAACUGACACUGAGGCACGAAAGCGUGGGGAGCAAACAGGAUUAGAUACCCUGGUAGUCCACGCCGUAAACGAUGAGUACUAGGUGUCGGGUGAAGAACUCGGUGCCGAAGUUAACACAUUAAGUACUCCGCCUGGGGAGUACGCUCGCAAGAGUAAAACUCAAAGGAAUUGACGGGGACCCGCACAAGCAGCGGAGCAUGUGGUUUAAUUCGAAGCAACGCGAAGAACCUUACCUAAACUUGACAUACCAAUGACAGCCUU
Molecule: ribosomal RNA, 497 nt
Filed under: uncultured bacterium
Lineage: Bacteria
Description: bacterial SSU rRNA
Rfam family: Bacterial small subunit ribosomal RNA
Source: RNAcentral